GAUGAAGAACGUAGCGAAAUGCGAUAAGUAAUGUGAAUUGCAGAAUUCCGUGAAUCAUCGAAUCUUUGAACGCACAUUGCGCCCCCUGGCAUUCCGGGGGGCAUGCCUGUCCGAGCGUCAUUUCUGCCCUCCAGCCCGGCUGGGUGUUGGGCGCUGUCCCCCCGGGGACACGCCCCAAAGGCAGUGGCGGCGCCGCGUCGGGUCCUCGAGCGUAUGGGGCUUUGUCACCCGCUCGGGACGGACUCGUCGGCGCUGGUCUUCCUCCAGGCGACCCUUCGGGGCUCGUCUUCCUUCGGUUGACCUCGGAUCAGGUAGGGUUACCCGCUGAACUUAAGCAUAUCAAUAAGCGGAGG
Molecule: unclassified non-coding RNA, 353 nt
Filed under: soil metagenome
Description: partial contains 5.8S ribosomal RNA, internal transcribed spacer 2, and large subunit ribosomal RNA
Rfam family: 5.8S ribosomal RNA (bases 1-120)
Source: RNAcentral